AUCUAAUCGCCCUGACACAUUUACUUUGAAAUGCCAAUACCCAAAUAUAUGAGCAAACACUCAAUGAAUAUAUAGUUGGUAACACACUGUUACUGAAACAAUUUGUAUUAAGGAAAAUAAAAGUAAUUCCUGACAGAUCAAAAAUGGGUGCAUGCUUCAGCAACUGUAAUCCGUGCGCUUGUCUUCCUUGCUGUUGUUGCUGCAACGAUGACAGCAACUAUAAUGACGGAGGCGGCGGAGUUGUUAUUAACGACAACAAUCCUGGAGGAGGAACUGUCGUUGUUAACCAAGGAUAGCAUAACAACUUCACAGGACUUCUAGCUUAUCGUUACUGAUGAAUUAGUCAAAUCAAUCAUAGUUCUUAACUUAUACUUAUUUCAAUGAUAACUUCUUGAAUAUUUACUGUAUGCAAUUUUUAAAUUGCAUUUCAUGUAAUUUAAAAUAUUUUCGGAUAACUCAAUUUUUAAAUUUAUACCGAUUGUAAAUUUAUUUUGAGUGAUUUCAAUCACGGUUCUAGGUAUCAGUAAAUUUUCGUCUAAGUGAUAAUGGAAGGGAUCAAAGUACUGUUGAUUUUUAAUCUUUAAGAAACGUGAUAGUUUUUAUCAUAUAAUGUAAUGUGUAACAAAAAAUACAUGUAUUAUGUUUGUUUGUGUAUCAAAUAAAUAUAGCUAUAAUCUUUA
Long non-coding RNA from Danaus plexippus (monarch butterfly), 680 nucleotides. RefSeq lists it as uncharacterized. Lineage: Eukaryota; Metazoa; Arthropoda; Insecta; Lepidoptera; Nymphalidae. The transcript has 2 exons. The record is from RefSeq and is a predicted model, not a curated record.